Molecule: RNA transcript, 4028 nt
Organism: Rhagoletis zephyria (snowberry fruit fly)
Lineage: Eukaryota; Metazoa; Arthropoda; Insecta; Diptera; Tephritidae
Gene name: NAD-dependent histone deacetylase Sir2-like
Source: RefSeq, a predicted model, not a curated record
UGUUGCAUUUGAAGAAAAACGUACUUAAUCAAUGAGAUCAAUGAAAAUAAUUUAUAAACUGAAAAGUAUGCACCCCAAAGCAAGCUAUUCACCCAUAGAAUUAAUUAAAAUUGAAUUAUAUGAUGUAAAAUGGUGCUUAAUGUGUUUAAAAUUUACUAAAUGGCUUGAAACAUAAACUAAUUCUACUCCGUUUUAAAACAAGUUUGCGAAUUUACCAGUGUGCUCACAGCAACCCAGCGACACGACGGCCAUUUUUGUUAACGUCAUUGACGAGCCACCGAAAAAUAUUGUCGUCUGUGCUUGGGCGAGGAUCAUUUGCUGCUUUUACCGUGAAAAAUAUACGCAAAAAUUAGAGAAAAUUACGAUAAUUAACACCGAAAUCGGUAAUUGAUAUACCAGUUAUAAGAAUUAGUAAAAGAAUCGCAAAAAAUGUUCUAUGAAAAACGCGGUUUUUCUUAGCCGAAAGUGUGAAAAAACGGUGGAGAAAAAUUUUACAUCAGCAAAAGAGACGAAAGGAAAAUUUUGUGUGUACCAACGAAACUGCGACGAAAGCGUAACUGGGAACGGAUAAACAAGGCGAAGUGUGAGUGCGAAAGAGUACGCGGUAGUUGAUGGGUAGCUGAAAGGCGGUGGGAAAGAGAGCGUAUUGUGUUUGCAUUUUGUCUUUCGAAUACAAGGAAAAGGAAUUUUCGCAUUGCGGGUGUAGAGUAGGUGGUGGCCACUAAAAUUCAAAUGGAAAUGAUGGAAAGUUAUGAGGAACCACAUAUUGGACCAUCACAUGCGGAUCAGUGUGAUUUACAUGAUGUGAAAAUUCAUGAAACAUGUCUAUCGGCCAAUUGCACUACUUUGAUGGCCACUAAACAGAAUUUCGAUUUUGGCGCCGAAAUUGUUGGAACACAAGCAAUAGAACCGGAACGCGAAAGCGAUAUAAAAACAAACGGCGAAAGCAUAGCAACAACUGCAACAGUAGCAACAGUGGCGGUAGCAGCAUCCUCCACCUCGCCCAAUGUAAAUCAAUCAUCAAAUAUAGAAACACCAUUGAACGUAGCCGAAUUACCUAUAAAGGGUACUUUAGCUAACGAUCAUGGCAGCCAGAUUGAUGAAGAUGAAGUUGACAACGACGGCGGUGAAAGUUAUCAAUCAGAUGAUGAUGAUAUGGACGAAGACGGUAAUGAGGACUACCAACAAGAGUGCAGAGGUAAUAUGCAUAAUGAUGCCUCACUUGAUAGCGAUGAGUCCACAUCCGACUCGGAUUUCUCUGACUUAAGUGGCCUAUCGGACAUGUCUGGCCGGGAAUGGAAACCAAUAAGCGCCAGGCCUAUCAAUUGGGUACAGAAACAAAUACACGCUGGUGCUAAUCCCCGUGACUUGCUUUCACAAAUGUUGCCUUCCAACACACACCCGAUUGCGCCGGGUGUGAAUGAUAUGAUGUUAUGGCGUAUACUUGCUAGCAUGUUGUCAGAGCCACCAAGGCGUCAAAAACUACGUUAUAUAAACACAUUCGAGGAUGUUAUUCAGCUAAUUCAGCAAUCUAAAAAUAUAAUUGUUUUAACCGGCGCUGGCGUGUCAGUAUCUUGUGGCAUACCAGAUUUCCGCUCUAGUGACGGCAUCUACUGCCGCCUGGCCAAGGACUUUCCUAAUUUGCCCGAUCCGCAAGCUAUGUUCGAUAUCAGUUACUUCUCACGUGAUCCACGACCAUUCUUCAAGUUUGCGCGCGAAAUAUAUCCCGGACAAUUUAAACCAUCACCUUGUCAUCGUUUUAUAAAAUUGCUUGAAGAGAAGCAGAAAUUGUUGCGCAAUUACACACAAAAUAUAGACACUUUGGAGAAGGUAGCUGGCAUAAAGAACGUUAUAGAAUGCCAUGGCUCGUUUUCGACGGCUUCGUGCACGAAAUGCAAAGUCAAAUGUACAGCAGAUGCUAUACGAGAUGAUAUCUUCUCGCAACGCAUACCCGUAUGUCCACGUUGUCAGCCCAAUGUGCAUCAGAGUGUUAAUGCUUCUGAUGCAGUGUCGGAUGCAGAUUUGAGACAGCUUGUGGAGAAUGGCAUAAUGAAGCCAGAUAUUGUUUUCUUCGGGGAAGGUCUUCCCGAAGAAUUCCACACUGUCAUGGCGGGUGACAAAGACAGAUGUGACCUGUUGAUUGUUAUAGGUUCUUCCCUCAAAGUGCGGCCGGUAGCGUUAAUUCCUAGCUCAAUACCAGCCAAUGUGCCGCAGAUACUCAUCAAUCGGGAGCAGCUGCAUCAUCUCGAGUUCGAUGUUGAAUUGUUGGGUGAUUCCGAUGUUAUCAUUAAUCAAUUAUGUCAUCGCCUAGGUGAUGAUUGGAAAGACAUCUGCUAUGAUAACUUCAUAUUGAAGGAAUCCAAGGAACUCUUACCAGUGGAGGAGGAAGACACUAACGAUGAAAGUGAGGAAGAUGGCCAACAGAUGCUAGAUACAGACACACAAUCAGUUAAGUCGAGCGCAUCCACAGAUUUGGCGCUACGUUCGGCAGUUGCUUACUCGGAUAGCGGGUUCGAAUCGUCAACAUCAUCUGGCAUGGUACUUGCUAAACAAAAUAUUGCAGCGGCUAGUAAUGAGGCUAAGGAGGCAAUAGAAAAAAUCAAAACCACUAUAUUGGAGAUGCAUCAGCCAUUGACAAAGACACGUCAGGGUAGCAAGCCAGGGUCAGUUAAUUACUUAGAAGAGCCUAGUGAUGCUGUAGAUUUCGAAACUCGUUCCUUUCAACCAUUUAAUGAGCGCGUAAGUGAGCAGUACCACCACCACACGACAUGCGGUGCGAAUACACGUCAUCCGUCAGUUGAUUCAACCAAGGACAGUGGUAUAGUGGCCGACUGCUCCAUUUCUGCGCAGAUUUCAAACAAUGUCAUUGGCAUUCUGCCGCCACCAAUUACAAAUUUUGGUGAUAGUGGAGGCACAAAAGCUAUGAAUGACCCCUUCACAGCUCUACCAACCUGCACAGAUAACAAAACUACACCCGCAGCAACAGUAACAAGGAUAGAGUCACCGCCGCCACCGCAAAUGGUAAGCGAUACAGAGAAAAUAUCAACAGCGGUCACAAUACGUCGCAGUGCUAAGAAAUACCGUACUGCAGCGGAACGUUUGCUCGAAGGUACAUACUAUGCGCAUGAAACCGUUUCAGCUUAUGUAUUCCCCGGCGCACAAGUCUCAUGGUCGUCCGAUGUCGAAGAAGAGGAUGAAGAAAAUGGCAUUAUUGGAAAUAUAUACGAUGACGUCGAUGAGGAUGAUAUCGAUGCAAAUGGCGGUCCGCUCUCACCACUCUUGCCGCCGUCUGUGGAAGCAGAAGUAGUAAGUGAAAUAACAACAACAAGUGCAUUUGCAAUUUGCGCCAAGCGAACGCUACCCGCGUCAUACAGCAUCAGCGGCGAAAUUAACCAAGCGGCGGAUAUGGAACUGCAAACCGAUAGCAAUAAAAAUUCGAGUGUACCAAGCAAUACAACAGCAACAACCUGCAGCGCUACGGAAACCACAUGCGACAGAGUAAGUGUGACAAUGCCGCCUUCUCCAUCACCAUCGCCGCAAAAGAGAGCUUGUGAAUGCCCUCCAACACUUGGUGGUAGCGACAGCAAUGUCGAAACAAACGAUAGCAGUAGGAGUAGUAAUAUUGGUAAAUCUGAAUGCCAUGCGCCCCCCUUAAAGCGUAAGCGCUCAACAGAUGAUCAGAAAAAUUUGGUCGAUGUGUUUCCGGAAGUGUGUAUUGAUGCAACGCAAAGCGGUAAUAUUAAUGACACACCUCUUUUGAGUAGUGGUGUUGGUGGCGCAGACGCCGUGUCGCCAAAGGAGUAUGCAACACAGCUGGUGCAGAAUUAAGAUUACCACUCUUCCGGUUCCGAUUGAUUCGACAGCAGCAAACUUAUUGGAAGUCAUAUAAGAAGAAAAACUACUACAACAAACACAAAACAAAAUAUUUGCAAUUUUAGAUGCAGUUAAAUUGGAAGCUAGAACUAGGCGAUAUGAAAAUAAUAAUAAAAAAAUCAGGCAGCAAGAGCGCGCGUGGAUGGUAUGGAUAC